RNAcentral lists this ribosomal RNA (497 nucleotides) under uncultured bacterium. RNAcentral's name for it is "partial 16S ribosomal RNA". It matches the Rfam family "Bacterial small subunit ribosomal RNA", at positions 28 to 507 of the family's 1533-position model. The record is from RNAcentral.
GAUGAACGCUGGCGGCGUGCUUAAUACAUGCAAGUCGAGCGAACGGACGAUAAUCUUGCUUCUCUGAUGUUAGCGGCGGAUGUGUGAGUAACACGAGGAUAACCUCCUUAUAAGACUGCUAUAACCUCGGGAAUCCGGAUCAAAUACCGGAGCAUAUUUUGAACCGCAGGGUUGAUCUGCAAAAGUCGGUCUUGCUGUCACUUCUAGAUGGAUCUGCGCUGCAUUGGAUAGUGGUUAAUGUAACGGUCUACCAAGGCAACGAUGCAUAGCCAACCUGAGUGGGUGGUAGGCCACCCUGGAACUGAGACACGGUCCCGACUCCUGCGGGAGGCAGCAGUAGGGAAUCUUCCGCAAUGGGCGAGAGCCUGACGGAGCAACGCCGCGUGAGUGAUGAAGGUCUUCGGAUCGUGAAACUCUGUUAUUAGGGAAUAACAUAUGUGUAAGUAACUGUGCACAUCGUGACGGUACCUGAUCAGAAAGCCCCGGCUAACUACGUG